GACGAACGCUGGCGGCGUGCUUAACACAUGCAAGUCGAACGAGAAUCUGCGGAAAGAGGAUUCGUCCAAUUGAAGCAGAGGACAGUGGCGGACGGGUGAGUAACGCGUGAGGAACCUGCCUUUCAGAGGGGGACAACAGUUGGAAACGACUGCUAAUACCGCAUGACACAUCGGAGUCGCAUGGCUCUGAUGUCAAAGAUUUAUCGCUGAAAGAUGGCCUCGCGUCUGAUUAGCUAGUUGGUGAGGUAACGGCCCACCAAGGCGACGAUCAGUAGCCGGACUGAGAGGUUGACCGGCCACAUUGGGACUGAGAUACGGCCCAGACUCCUACGGGAGGCAGCAGUGGGGAAUAUUGGGGCAAUGGGCGCAAGCCUGACCCAGCAACGCCGCGUGAAGGAGAAGGCUUUCGGGUUGUAAACUUCUUUUGUCAGGAAGAGCAGAAGACGGUACCUGACGAAUAAGGCCACGGCUAACUACGUGCCAGCAG
Molecule: ribosomal RNA, 487 nt
Filed under: uncultured bacterium
Lineage: Bacteria
Description: bacterial SSU rRNA
Rfam family: Bacterial small subunit ribosomal RNA
Source: RNAcentral